AGAAAAUUAGUCUAGAUGCCAUUUGUGACAGAAGUAUUCAUUCAACUGAUAGAUAUUAUACUAAAGACACGAGGAUGAAAAUAGUCACAGCUUUGGUUCUGAUCGUACUUACUGCUGAAUGUAUUUCAUUACAAGAAGAAAAGACAAUUUCACCAUCAACAGUAGAACACUCUUUGAAAAAAAUGAUUAACUCUGAUCUAGGUAAACGUGACGGAAACAGACGCCUCCGUACCCCCCAAAAACGUGGCCCCGCAGAACUACCUAAAUCAAAGCAUUAGAAUGGAUGCAAGUCUUGUAGUGCGUACUAUUGACAUAAGGCGAUACGUAUCAUAUUAUUGUAAACAUGUAAAAACAAUUAUUGGUUUCGCCGGAUGUAUUUUCUCUUGAGGAUUUGAAAAAAAAAAAUUUAAA
This is a long non-coding RNA of Ruditapes philippinarum (Manila clam), 411 nucleotides long. RefSeq lists it as uncharacterized. Lineage: Eukaryota; Metazoa; Mollusca; Bivalvia; Venerida; Veneridae. The record is from RefSeq and is a predicted model, not a curated record. The transcript is spliced from 2 exons.